Molecule: long non-coding RNA, 474 nt
Organism: Numida meleagris (helmeted guineafowl)
Lineage: Eukaryota; Metazoa; Chordata; Aves; Galliformes; Numididae
Exons: 2
Source: RefSeq, a predicted model, not a curated record
CCCUUGCUCCCCUCCUCCUUCCCGCGCUGUGAGCCGGAAGUGAUCGCCCUCGACCGUUAGGGUGACCCGGAAGCGGAAGUCAAAGGGGAGAGAUGCGCCUGCGAGCGGAGGGGCCGCAGCGGAGCGGAGAGGAACGGAGCCGCCGUCACUCGGCCAUGACUUCUGGGCAUCUGCUCAUCCUUGGACAGAGAUCAUUGUGGAAUGAGGACGGAAGGGAGCAUCCCGAUGCCGGCCCAUUGCAUCCCAGCCUACCCCAGCGUGAGACAAUCCAGCCCUGUGUGCAGGCCCUGGUUUCUCUGGUGUUUUCUAACUGUGCUGUUCUUCUGCUGAGGGUCUCUUAUCCGAACACAGCAGCCUUACGGCACGCUUUGCAGCCCAUAAUACUGUAUUCAUCGUACUCGCAGCGAUUAUAGUUUUACAAGUGAGAAGUGAUUGCGUCGUUUGAGAAGUGUAUUUUUGCAGUAUGUUUGUGAA